UUUCUUUCGACUCGGCCAGGUCACCUCCAAAAUGUGGAGAAAUGGAUUCAUCCUCGCGGCUCCUGCGUGCGUCGGUCCACUCAGGGCGCAUGCGCGGAGCCGGCCCGGCGCCUGCUACGCGUGGGGCAGCGGGCUGUCCCGGACGGAGCUUCCUCGGUGUCUCCCAAGGCCGGCGACAGAGCCAGGCGGGGGAAAAGUUUGGGGAGAAGAGCCGAGGGCGGCGGGGAGGCGGCGGGGAGCCGACCCCGGGCCCCGGCGGCCGGAUGUCUCACCGGCCUCCCACUCGCUUUCUCGGAGCCGGGGGUGCGCGGGGUGCUGGGCUGCGCGCUCAGGGUCCGGGCCUUCCAGACAGCCCUGCAGGCCGGGACCCCAACCAGAAUCAGCGUCCUUGUCACCAGCAACGUUUUCCGUUUGAGAGAAGGAAGACAAAAUUCUCUCCCUGCUGUGGAGAAGGGAGGCCGCGCUGGAGCUGUGUCUAGUAGGAAGAAUGAACUGGAAACAGUUCUGGUGACCACGAAGGGACCUGAAGAAGACUUCCAUGACCCCGAGAAACCCUCAAGGCAUUCGCAUUGCAGGCACCACUGACGGGGCUCACCUGUAACCAGACAUGUGUGAAGAACAGCCUGGCCACUUGUCACACAGCCAGCUGGUUUUGGGGACAAGGAGACUGCUCAGAGGGAGGCUUUAUUAUGAAGAUAUCAACGGGGAGCGACGUAGAGGUUGAGACUCUCAGCACCGACUGCAGGACUUGGGGGGACGCAGGUCCGAUGUGAGGGUCUGGGGCAGGCGAGGUACUUUACCCAAGACCAUGAGCGCACCCUCUUACUGUGGGCCUUCCGGGACCGUCUCCCAGCCAUCUUCGAUGGCUGGAGCGCUUGUCCCAUGCUGGCAGUCUUAAGAAGGGCCCGGAGCAAGAAGUUACGGUCAGCGCUGUUCUGGGCGAAGGACUCAGGCAAAGAGCCCUUAGGGCACCAGAGUCUCCUCACCCUUCAGUGCUGCUCGGGACUGUGUCCUGUGAAAGUUGCACCAUCGAGGCCAUCAUGGUGGUCACAGAUGUCACCGGAGUGUGCAGAGAGUAUCGGUUAUUCAGGGAGGAGAGAGCGUGAGCUCGUCUUAGCCUGCACAACCAAUUACUAGGAUUCUAGGGCCUGUUUCUUUUUUUUAUCUGGUAAAUACUGUAUGUAAGGCCAAAGACGGGUUAUUUUUCACUUCGCAGGGGUGUCUUCCUCACGGAGCACCAGAGGUCACAAGGUCUGAGUUCUACCCUCUUCGCAUUGAGCCCCAGCCUGUUUUGGCGUCCUAAUCUCGGUGAGUGUGCUGUGAGGAGCACGUGACCUCUUUGGGGUUUGUGGUGACCCGUGGGUCACUAGGGCAGCCACCGUUUUUUUAAGGCAGGCUUGUGGCAGAUGCAGUAAGGGACAGUUCCUGCUAGGUGGCGACUCCGUCCUUGGGAAUCCCCAGUGGUUCUGUUCCUUGUUUCUCGCAUGAUAAAGUAGGAGGAAAUCACUGGCCAAGUUGGUCAGAGGACUCUGAGAGCCAAGCCAGAGUUUGACUGCUGGGCACGAGCAGGACACCUAAAGGCUGCUUGAAGACUUCUCUUCUAAAAAUAAGACUCCCGAGAGAAGAUAGCCUGGGUCAUGGGAUAUGUUAGUUUGACACCAGGCCAUGUGCUAGCCCCGAGAAAAUUCCCACGCAGUGAAAAGCGUGGGGCUGACCCCAUGGCACAGUGGUAAAGUGCUGCUAAAAAAGAGCAGUUCCGCACGACAGCCACGGUUGAAGGAUCUGACCUGAUCAGCCUGAAACAGGCCAGGCGCAGGCGUGAAUGCCCGAGAUCCGACAGACUGGGGAGCUGGAGGAAGGGAGUCCCGCGUGACCAGACCCUGUGCAGGGUGCUCCUCUCUCAGGUGCACAAGCACUUUACCACGCAGUAAAGGAAAGAGUACAAACUACAGAAGCCUCGCGAAAACAUUGCACAGCCCAACCCCACGGCAUUUCCCUCUCCAGCCUUUAUCUCAGCUCCGACAGCCCCAAGAUCCAAGGUAAAAAUAGGAUCCUUGAUUUCUGAAGGACCAAGACCAUCUUCCGGCUACACCUGCCUUUGACUUGUUUUUGCAGCCACGGUUGGUGUCUAACUCUAGGACAUUUUCCUCACCCAUCAGAGAAAUGCUGUCCCCAUUGGCAGUCACUCCCCAUCACUCCUGCCCUGACAGACACCUGUCUCCUUCCUGUCCCUCUGGAGUCGCCUUUUCUGGACAUCUCCUUUAUCGUGGAGCUGAUCUAGAAGACUUUGUCUCUGGUCUUUGAGCCCUCUCGUCAUUCCCACCAGCCUGCGAGUUUCUGUGAU
This is a long non-coding RNA of Tupaia belangeri chinensis (Chinese tree shrew), 2344 nucleotides long. RefSeq lists it as uncharacterized. NCBI's taxonomy places the organism in Eukaryota, Metazoa, Chordata, Mammalia, Scandentia, Tupaiidae. The transcript is spliced from 4 exons. The record is from RefSeq and is a predicted model, not a curated record.